CCUACGGGAGGCAGCAGUGGGGAAUAUUGCACAAUGGGGGAAACCCUGAUGCAGCGACGCCGCGUGAGUGAAGAAGUAUUUCGGUUUGUAAAGUUCUAUCAGCAGGGAAGAAAAUGACGGUAUCUAAUUAAGAAGCACCGGCUAACUACGUGCCAGCAGCCGCGGUAAUACGUAGGGGGCAAGCGUUAUUCGGAUUUACUGGGUGUAAAGGGAGCGUAGGCGGGAGCACAAGUCUGGAGUGAAAUGCCGGGGCUUAACCCCGGAACUGCUUUGGAGACUGUGCAGCGAGAGGGCAGGAGAGGUAAGUGGAAUUCCUGGUUUAGCGGUGAAAUGCGUAGAUAUUAGGAGGAACACCAGUGGCGAAGGCGGCUUACUGGACUGUAACUGACGUUGAGGCUCGAAAGCGUGGGGAGCGAACGGGAUUAGAUACCCCAGUAGUC
Molecule: ribosomal RNA, 440 nt
Filed under: uncultured bacterium
Lineage: Bacteria
Description: partial 16S ribosomal RNA
Rfam family: Bacterial small subunit ribosomal RNA
Source: RNAcentral